ACCCGCUGAACUUAAGCAUAUCAAUAAGCGGAGGAAAAGAAACCAACAGGGAUUGCCCUAGUAACGGCGAGUGAAGCGGCAACAGCUCAAAUUUGAAGUCUGGCCCCGGCCCGAGUUGUAAUUUGCAGAGGAAGCUUCUGGCACGGCACCUUCCGAGUCCCCUGGAAUGGGGCGCCAUAGAGGGUGAGAGCCCCGUAUGGUCGGCUGCCUAGCCUGUGUGAAGCUCCUUCGACGAGUCGAGUAGUUUGGGAAUGCUGCUCAAAAUGGGAGGUAAAUUCCUUCUAAAGCUAAAUAUUGGCCAGAGACCGAUAGCGCACAAGUAGAGUGAUCGAAAGAUGAAAAGCACUUUGAAAAGAGGGUUAAACAGCACGUGAAAUUGUUGAAAGGGAAGCGCUUGUGACCAGACUUGCGCCGGGCUGAUCAUCCGGUGUUCUCACCGGUGCACUCUGCCCGGCUCAGGCCAGCAUCGGUUCUAGCGGGGGGAUAAAGGCCCCGGGAAUGUAGCUCCCUCGGGAGUGUUAUAGCCCGGGGCGUAAUGCCCCCGCCGGGACCGAGGACCGCGCUUCGGCAAGGAUGCUGGCGUAAUGGUCAU
This 592-nucleotide ribosomal RNA is filed under the name uncultured fungus. RNAcentral's name for it is "eukaryotic LSU rRNA". It matches the Rfam family "Eukaryotic large subunit ribosomal RNA", at positions 23 to 641 of the family's 3401-position model. Lineage: Eukaryota; Fungi. The record is from RNAcentral.